Helianthus annuus (common sunflower) is the source of this 553-nucleotide long non-coding RNA. RefSeq lists it as uncharacterized. The transcript has 2 exons. The record is from RefSeq and is a predicted model, not a curated record. Lineage: Eukaryota; Viridiplantae; Streptophyta; Magnoliopsida; Asterales; Asteraceae.
AGAUCAAAACGGCGAUUUCCACAAACACCACCGUCUCAAAUCAAAGCGAGGAUUUACAUGGCCAUUGGUUCCAUUUUAUCUCUGACCAAGCCCCAAAGCGGCGGCGUUAGGGUUGCUUCGCGAACUGGCCGCCGGAAUGCGACAACGCAAGUCAUUGCCGGAGUUCAGGUGCGUUAUUUUGCCUCUUUAUUUGCUUUCUUAGUUGUUCAAAUUUCCUCUUCGAUCGUUUCCCCUUGCGGAAUUUUUCCCCUGUGUCCGUUAUUUUAGCAGAAAUAUUCUGUGUAGAAUAUUUAGUUGUCUCUCCAGGUAACUUUGAUUUUGAAGUUGUUUUUCAUCUUAUUCGAACGUACUACUGUGUUUGAAUGUUGAGAUGAUGAUUGAACAUGUUUGUACUUACUAAGGAGAAAGGAUAUGCCAUUCACUGAUAAACACAAGGCAUGGCAGCAACUGAGAAGGGGCCGCUAUGUGGAAUUCAAUUUGGUGUAUAAUCGAAGAACAACAUUCGGUCUUAAAACUGGAGGUCGGAUUGAAAGCAUUCUUGUCUCUUUGCCGC